RNAcentral lists this ribosomal RNA (253 nucleotides) under uncultured bacterium. RNAcentral describes it as "partial 16S ribosomal RNA". It matches the Rfam family "Bacterial small subunit ribosomal RNA", at positions 524 to 776 of the family's 1533-position model. The record is from RNAcentral.
UACGAAGGGGGCUAGCGUUGCUCGGAAUUAUUGGGCGUAAAGCGCACGUAGGCGGUUUGUUAUGUCGGAUGUGAAAGCCCUUGGCUCAACUGAGGAAGUGCAUCCGAAACUGGCAAGCUAGAGUAUGUAAGAGGGUCGCGGAAUUCCCGGUGUAGAGGUGAAAUUCGUAGAUAUCGGGAGGAACACCGGUGGCGAAGGCGGCGACCUGGGACAAUACUGACGCUGAGGUGCGAAAGCGUGGGGAGCAAACAGG